AUCAUUUUUGCCAUACUAGCACAGAUACUCUUAGAUACUUUACCGAAAAAGGCAGAAAGAGGCAAUUAUUUUACUUGCCCUAUCACUGUUUCAGUUUGCCAACUGGUCCGCUGAGGAGAUGCAGGGGAUAAAAGGCAAUGGUUGACCAGAAGGAGAGGAAUACUUCAUGUCACUGAAGAAGAACAAACAUGAUGAAAUUAAGAAAGGAUCAUUUCCUAUUGGCUUCUACUGACUUUGAAUGCACUUCAGUUCUUUCCUGCUGUUAUCAUCCUGAAAAAGCGAAACGUGCUGUUAAAGACCAGAUUCUCACAGUGCAGCAUUGUCUCAUUUGAGAACAAGGUGCAACUGGAUCCCCCACGGAUGAGUAGCUCUCUGUACUGUUCCUCAGAGUCCCAAAGGAACUGUUUAGAGCAAAGGGCUGCGGACUGCUCAGCUGUGCUAACUUACAAAAAGAUCUCCACUCAUAGAAACAGCAGUAGCCCAGUUCCUUUGGUGAUCAGUGCUGCAGUACGUGCACGGCAAUGAACUGAUGAAAGGAGUAGUUUGCUUAAUAACAAUCAGGAUUGACAGAUAAAACACAAGACAGGAGGUGACAAACUGACUGGCAAGAGUAGACACUUGGGACAAUAAGUAGUUUUGAUUCUUCAUCGGACAGUCAUCUAUGAAAUAAAAUUCAGCAAAGGUAAACUGCUGUGACACCAGAAUGAUUACUACCAGAAGCACCUCCCUGCAACUUGCAUUCUAGGAGAACAGUUUGAAUACUUUCACUCGUGGAAAAUGAAAUAGCACAGCGGAUGCCCACAGAUGCUAAGGACAGUGGAUUUAUGUCCUGGAUGAUGGUCACACCCUGAAUCCUGGUAGUUCAAUGGCUGCCUCUCAAAGUGAUACAGUGUGAAGGUUACCUGCAUCAAGACUGUGAGGCUGGCAGGAGUUAGAAGUUCUGCAUGUGGGAGAGAGGUGCCCCAGUCUGAAGAUGCUCAACGAUGCUUCUGUACACGAGGCACUACUGAAAGAUGAAGUGGCUCUUUUAACAGUAAGGCAUAUAUAAUGGACCCAGAAUAACUGUGCAUGCUUCCAAAAUGUUACCACAGCUGAGGUUCAUCCUUGAACUCUGGUGGUCUGGAACAACUGCCUUACCAGUUCUCUCUGACAGAUGUAGUCUGACUCAAUCACAAGCAAACUGUGCAACAGACAGAACAGUAUAUUUAACCCCAGAGUGUUCAUCAGAUGAAACAGGCCAUGGAAACAAUGACAUUUAAGUGCUACUUGUAAUCUUCAUCAUUGGCCACCUCAAGCUAUUUGCAUCUCCCUUCUGGCAGCUGACUGAGUGUAACUUUCCUGGGAAGAGCUGUGUACUAUUCAAGCCACAUCUAAAACUCAAGCUUCCAUCACCGAGGGAAAGAACUCUGAGCUGGUUUUACAACAGCAGAACAUUGUCUGGCUGAAGCAUUAUGACAGAAAGGGAUAGUAAUACAGCUGUUAAAAGUUUGCUCUCUUCUGUACUCAAGGAAUCCAUCAAAGAACUCUUCUAGAAGAAGAGCCCAUAUGCGGAGUAAGACAGCAUGAUGUAUGAAUCCCAUCGCUGAAAUCAACUCUUGGAUUCAACAGUGCCAUUUGAACGGACAAAACCAUUAUUUUCUUUAGCCAUUCAAGCAAGGGAAACAUACUAACUCAAUUGCCAGCAUAGCUACCAGAAGGAAAUUGUGUAUGCUUUUUAGUAUUCAAGACCUUGCUCUAUUGCCUUACUCAUAUGAAAUUCAGCAUCUCUUUUGAAAACAGCAAAACAAUGACUUUGUCUCCAUUUUAAUUUGGAAGGAGUCCAAAUUAAGCUAUUAUGAGAGAUAAAUGAUAUAAUGAGAGUUGCAUGCAAUUUACUGAAAAAAAAAAUGAACAAGCAAAAUGACCUCUCAAAUGUUUGCAUUUUUCUUUUUUGAACUUACUGAAAUUUUUAUGUUCUAGGUAGUGAAGUCAAGUUUCAUAUUCAGCUUUCCUGUUAAUGUUAACAUGUACAUGACAGGUUCCAACUAAGCAGAAAAAUAGGACAUUAGGAUGCCAACCUAGCGUUCCGUUAUUAUCAAGAAUAAAUGAACUCAACUUAAACAGAGUUUCUAUAUUAACUAUUUCCAGAAUACACUCCUAUGCAGAACACUGUCUCGUAGGAAUUUGACUGGCAAAUAUCAGAUAUUCUGGCACUGAAAAGAAAAUCUGAGAACCUUUGUUACUGAAGCUGUAGUGGUGAACAAAAAUAGACUGCAAGCACUGGUGGAAACAUGGGCUACAGGGCCCUGUGAUCACAAACCUUCUGAGCAGGAAAGUCUGCCCGCUUAUAGAAAAGGUCAUCUUCAGUUUUGCAGCUCCAGGCUUUUAAUCUUAAGUAAGCCAAUCAGAUCUGAAUUAAGUGAUGAACGUAUUAUGUUAAUGAGCAUAAUUAUGCUAAUGAACAUUCCUUCAAGGAAUCUUCAUUCUUGAUUCAUUAGUUAGAUGUUACCAUCUGAAACCAAUGGAAAAUGUUUUGAAAAACUCAAUUAACCCCUCUGGGGUAAUCUUAAGACCUUAACAGACUGUCUUCCAGUGCUACCUCUGUUAUUUAUUCCCAGAUUUGUCUGUAGUCAUCAUUUCACUCAGAGUCCUCUGCCUUUUUAAACUUAUUUUUCUUCUGACAGUUACUUCAACCCUGCCGGAAAAACAAAACAAAACAAAAAUCUAUAAUCAUGUUUUAUUACUGCACUGCAGGCUCUGCAAUCCAGAUCCCAACAGUAUCACCUUCUGAACAAGCAUGGGAAAAUGCUAAAACAGCAGAAAAGUUGUCAGAGCCUGCCUGCACUAUUGACUAACCAGAGACUAGCUUGGGACAGGCACUAUCCAGCCAGCAAAUAGGCAGCUUUCUGCAGUACACUGUGUACUUCUUAGGGAUGGCACUUACUGUUUGGUGCCAGUGUGCUCCCGUGUUACAUUCCUGGUCCCACACAAUUACAUGUGUAUCUAAGGUUGCACUUACACUCCCACCUGUUAAGGUAACACACAGGAAGUAUCAUGGUAAGCUAUUAACAGCACAUGUUUUUACAGGACAGUAGCCUAUUUGUUCAGAUGAAUUCAAGUCACUUAAAAGUUAUUCCAUCCAUGGCUGGUAUUAAUAGCAUCCACACGUGUAACAUUUAUAUCAGUGGACAUAAAUCAGCAUCAGUCUAUUAAAUUCAAAACCACAUCAUUUCGGCUCAGCAGCUGACACUACAGGCUUACAAAAGAAACACUUAACAUAUACUUUUCCAUGAUGAAACGUGAGAAUAUGUCUAUUGAUGGUUACGUGUUCUCUACAAGAAGCCUCUCUGAGCCUUAAGGUUUACUUUCCAUAAUCAGCAGCACCUCCCCAGUGGGUUUUUAAUAUGUUUUAUCAGCUUAGAGUUCCUGAACAUCACACUUGCAUGUGGAAAGGCCAGAGAAUUGCCAGCUCUCGAUCAGCUGCAGUGAAAGCACAGCUUUGUAGUCCCAAAGCCCUGACUAUACCUGGGAGUGCAUACAUGGUAUCUGAUUGAAGUUACAGGUGUUAUAAUUCUCCUCUUGCCAGUGGGUCAUUAUUUCACUCCAUCAAAAGAGAAAAAUAAAACAUGUGAAGAACUCUGCAGUGACCUGCUUAGUCCCACAGAGGUCACAGUAGAGACUGAUUUAUGAUGACUGACAACUGCCUAUGAUUAUGAAAAUUGCUAGCCAGGACAGCAUAUAUUACUGAUGCCUGCUGAAUAGGGCACAGAGAAAUCAUUUUCCCUUUUAGUAUUCCUAAAGGUUUACUGUUCUUAGCUUUAUUCAAAGAAACUUAAGACCCGAGGAAAACAAUGCUGUGUAUAUAAACAGGGCAAACAUUAUGCUGUUAUUUAAAAAUGUCAGCCUGAUACUUGAUGUAAGGUUCUGACUUAAUAUGUAAGGCAAAACAAAUGAGUUUGAAAAUCUCUGUUUAGUGGUUUAGAAAAUGGGAUCUGAGAUUGCUUUAAAGAAGGUCAUAAAGACCUCUCAACCUCUCCUUUUAUUUAUGUUUUCUCAAAUAUAUUGACUGGCUUGAUGGUGCACCACAGACAAAUAUCUACAUGCUUCACAUAAUGAAACAGUGUCAUUACCUUAUCUGGACAAACUCCCAGUGUAAUUGCAACCAAAGUAAAACAGCUCUGAGACUGCAAAGAAGUGUCAAAACAGGAAAUACAAUAGCAUAGACCUGAGAUGUUUUCCAUUUGCAGACUUUCAUAUAGGUGUCUUUUUUCAUACUUUUAGCCCUAUAUUGGAAAGCAUAAUUUGAUGAUAGACGUGAAACUGUGUAUUAGUUUUUAUUUUGACAAAUUCAUUAGACAUCACAUAGCUUGAAAAAUGAACCAGGAGGCACUAAGUCAGCCUGAGAAGAUUGUACUUCAUAAACUGAAUUGCUCACAUGGGCAACAUUUUGGUGGAAGUUAUAGAUUUUCUAGCAUAUCCCUGAUAGAUAGCACUAAUAUAACUUCAAUAAAAACUCUGGAUAUGUCAAUAUAAAAUUUUUUCAAGCAUCGAAAGAUGUAAGAUACUUCAGCUAAUAAAUUGGAAGAUUCCCUGUUCCUCAAGGUACACUAACUUACACAUCAGAUUAUAAAGAGUAUUGAAGCCACACAGAGUACAGCAGGCAGCUGUAGGUUUGCUGCUUUUAGAAGUUGCACUAAAUUGAAUUAUCAAUAUAUGAAAGUAAUAAUUGGAAAUUAAGAUCUAGAUGACCCUUUUUGUAAAAAUGUUAGCAUUCUUCAAUUUUUAACUGUUAGAUGAUAGACAAUUUUUCAUAGCUGACAUGACUGAUAGACUGUAUUUGAUGCAAAUAAUUGAUGUUCCUUCUCUCUCUUCCUAACACAUGACCUUUCACUUACUUCCUUAUAUUGUUACCACUUCCAGAUUGAUAUGGUAUUGGAAAUGCAAAUGGUUAUCCUUCUUCUGAAAAAAACCUUACAGAACCUGAUGUAAGACUUCAUUGGUUACAACUGUAUGGGACAGGAUUGUGUGUAUGUAUAUAUAUAUUUACAUUUGUGGAUGUUUGCGCAUGCACACAAACAUAAAUACACAGUGUUAGAAUUUCUUUAAGUUAUACAAUUAUUUCUGUAUCUUACAGUGACCUACCACGCACAAAUUGUAACUGAAAGUAGCUGCAUGAUUAUUUGUACGCAUUCAACAACCAGUGACUGUAAAUAAAAAGAAGAUAUGGAAAUGCACUAACAUUUGAAUAAUGACAGCUUUUAAAAUAGAAAGAAGAUGACUUGGAAGAAAGUUACAGUUUCAAGUAGAAUGCUGGCAGGAAUUUGAGACACUGUUUGGACUUGCCUUAGAAAAAUCUUCAACUUUUAGUACAAAAAUGUAUUGUGGACAAGACGAAAUCUAGAGUAUCUACCAUACUUUGCACACUAUUUGAUACUUUUGCAAGGCUUGAGAGAGACUUUCUGGCCAACAGUAACAAACAGAUCAUACAGAGUUUGCAGUUACAUAAUAUUUUCCAAAUACUACUGCACUAGAAACUAAAAAGCCAUGUUCAAAUGUGUCAGAGGAAAUCAUUGUAAGGCUCUAUUAACACUACAGAGGCAAGCAUUCAAGUCAGGCAUCUGAACACCGUAUGAGCAGUAUGAUGAACGUGCAUAAUUGUAUGACCUGGGGUUAAGAAAAAGUACUCUUCUAAGGGCCCCAAACUCCACAAUAUACCUCAGUGAGAAAACUCUUCUCUUUGCUUGCUCCCAUAUUCUUGACUUGUAGAUUCUUAUAUUUUAAUUACAAGUAUGUAGAUAACUUAGAGUUUGUUGUUUGUUUGUUUGUUUUUUUCUGUCACAGGCAAAUUUUCUGUACUUCUACGUGGUAUUUGCCUCUAUCUCAACAAAGUAACUAAGAAGUUUCUGUGAAUUAAGAGCAGAGACAAAUAUAUUACAUCUCUUUAACUGAUGAAAGCAGCAGAUUUUCACUGAUCUGCAGGCAGCUGUUCUGUGUUCAGUGGAGUCGGAUGCCCAUCAUUUUCAUUUUUAUAUGAAAAAUGUUUCUUGGAAAACUCAUUAUCCCUAUUCAGGAGCCUUAAUAUAAAAUGAAAUUGGUCAAAAGGAUCUGAACACCUAAUACACAGUUCUGUCAUUCCUGUAUGGAACUUCUGGCAUAAAAGAAAACUGAGAAGGAUCACUAUUAGCAGUGGCCAGCUUUAGCUAAGCACUUCAAAAUGCACAGAACUAGGCAGAGAAUAGAUGAAGCUUUAUGCUGGUCUGACUGCUAGGGAAAUGAAUUUAUGUCUUCAGUAGCAUUUCCUUAGAAGAAUGCAUUGUGACUCCCUGUACACUCUGUAACACAAAGGGAUGAAGAUUUCUUUUGUUUUUGAGUCUCUGGUUUGGUUGUUGGUCAAGUACAACAGAAGGGGAAGAGGGAGUUACAUCUACAUGGUUGAAUAAAUAAAAAGUACUGAUAAAUACCGGAGUAAGAUUUUCCCUUCUGUAAGAAAAUGCAGUUGUUUCCAUAAUAUAUUCAUUAAAUGUAGAAAUGUAAAGGGUGUAUAUUCUUUUAUGUAUUCCCAUUUGACAAAUAAAUAACUGAUUAAUAUCUGUACUGCAUAUUCUUCCAGAAUAAUUAUUUCCUUUUGGAUGAACUCAGAAAACAAGUCAGUGGAUGAUACUAUACCUGUUUCCAGACAAAUACUUGUGAGCAUUCCCAACCUGUUAAAAGGAAGCAAUUAUGGUAGAGGACCAGACUACAUGGAUGACCUGAACCUUGCUCACAACAGAUGAGAAAAAAUGACAUUUUUCUCCUUUCUGAAAGACUUUUAUAGCUUGUGAAAAGGAAACUUCAAGGAAGGUGGGGAGAUUGAAGGCUGGACUGGUACGUAUGGGAGGUACAGACUGGUAGGAAUGUGAGACCUUAAAAGUGCCAACAAUAGGACUCACUGUGUUAACACAAUUGAAAAGCCAAAAAUGUCAAAUUGAGAUGUGUUAGUACUAAUAAAUAUAUACAUGUAUGUAUUUACGUAUAUGCAUAAAUAUAUAUAUAUAAACCAUAUCACUCAUGUUGACAGAAAAAGUAGGCACUUGUAUGUGAGUGCGCAUGCACUGGCAAAACUGCAUCUGACAAAACAGGCACACGUUUUCUGGGGUACCUUUUAGUAGGCGAAAACUUCAUCUGUUACAUCAUGAAAGAAGUUGCCACCAAUUUAAAAUUUAAUCUCAAACUGAUGCAAAAAUAGUCCAGUUAAGACUUUAAGGGUGUUACUCAGAAAUUGCAUUUAUUGGGCUGACUUGCUAAAGCAAAGUGAAAAUAUUUCCUAGAUUUAAAAUCUAUACAAAUUAUUUUUGACAUUACAACAAUUAAAGAUUUGUGCAGAUGUAAAAAAGGAGUAAUUGCUGAACAUUUCAUGCAAUCCAUUUUCCAGCAAUUCCUAUGAGGAAUGAUAUGUUCCUUGCUGAUUAUGGGCUGUGAGUAUGACCAGCCGGUUUCUUCAUUCUAAUUUCUCAUUGCUGUGUGUUUCUCUCACAAACCUUCACAUCUGCCUUAGUCUUGCUGCCCACUAGCAUAUGGUGCACUUGUGUUCUAGUUCAGAACAAGAAUAAAGAGUUUUUUUUCCUUUGAUACAUUUUGUUCACCAGAACUGGAAGCUCUUCCUUUUCUAUUGUACUACACCUGUAAUGAUCUCAGAACAUAUCAAUUGUCUUAAAGUUUUUCCUUCUUGAUUUAGUUAUGUUGUGAUAUCUCUUAUCUCCUAUCCUAAUCACACUAAAAUUAUCUAAGAACAGUAUAUAAAAAAGGACAAUUUCAGUUUUCUUCUAUACUGAAAGUAUUUGUAGGUCUGCAUGAACAAGCCUUGUCAGUAUCCUCCAUGGACUGAUUUGCCAUACUAACGUAAGAAAGAGUCCAAGUAUCUUUACUUACACAGUUAGGUAAAUGGAAUUUGAUUUGAUUUGCAAAUUCAAUGCAAAAUGGAUAUAUCUGAAACUUAAUUCUACUUCUACCUACUUAGACCUAUAGGAAAAUAAGACUGAAUGUAUAAAUAGGGUUUUACCAGUAUGUUUUAAUGUCUGCUCAGUCACUCAUAAUAAUGAUCAACAUGUUGAUUCUGACUAAAUGAAGCUGAAAAUCAGAUUUUCCCAAUAUAUCACAUCAGCAUACACAUCUGCUGAUCAGUGUUAAUUAGUCCUGUAUUUUCCAAUUUGUAAUCUGUGGAUGUUUUAUGGGGAUGUAAAUAGUAACAUAUUAGCAUUUAUAAUCUUUCUUUGGAAAGCUUAUGCUGAGCAAGUGACCAAUAAAUUGCAGUUAACGUAAACAUUAAUCAAAUUGAAUGCCAGUAUGGAAAGAGUCUCAAGUUUAGAGGGAAAAAUCAACUUUCUGUCAUGUAUUUUAUUGCUGAAGUGUAAUUAAGUAAGAUCAUGACGAUCUCUGAAUAUUCAAUGACAAAUAGAUAUAUUUGUUUCAAGAUCUGUGUGCCAUCCUGAAGCGCUAAUCACUUGACCAUUAGAGUGAAUGGAUGCCACUCAAUCUACAAUGGUGAAUUAAAUUUCCAGUGGUUGGAUGAAAGAAUAAAAAGAGAGAGAGAAAAAAUGCAUAAAUGAGUAUGAAAUGUUGUAAUAUGAGAGGUUAGUAUAUAAAGCCACAAAGUGAUGAGUACUUCACAGAAAUGUAAUGACCUACAUUUGGCCUAAACAAGCUAUUGUAUGACCAUAAAUGUACCAUUAUUUUGAACAAAUGAAGAUUGCAGAUAUAGUAGGUAAACAACAAUAAAUAUAAAACACACAAUCUGUUGUCAUGAGCAAAGAAAGUAUUUAAAUAUCAGUGCUGCUCUGCACUGCAAUAACUUUAUAUAUAUAUUUUUUUUCCCUCCAGCAUUUAUCUUGCUCUUAUAUGAUAUGCUUUUCCUCAAAAACAAACAAACAAAAAAAAAAGCCACAAACUACUGAAAGAAGUGAAGCUAAAACAGAGUAUUUUUAUGGAUUUCCUAGAGUGCACAUAUACAACCUGGAAUGAACGUACAGAAGGAAUGUUUAUCUUUAAGUUUGGCCAGGAAAAUGAAGAAUUGGAGAAUGGCUCACAGAGAGCUCAGUUUGAACAAAGGAAUUUCUCAAAUAAGUGCUUGCACCCAUCAAGGAUAAACACAAAUAAAACUUCUGGAAGUUACCAGGCCAGUUAUCUAUUUGGAGACUUGGUUAACUUUGAGCACUAUAUACAAAACAUAUGCUACCAAUCAUGCAAGUCACAGACCUCUGAUGAGGUGAAACCACAAUUUUUCAUACGUAAGUAUGAUGAAAGAGGUAAGUUUCAACCAGCUAAAGUGCCCGUGAAUAAUAACUUUGUAACAAGAAAGAUUAGGCCUGACAUGCAAACAUCUUUUUGUAAAAAGAAACUUUUUGAUCAAGCUGUGAAUUUAAAUGCAAUAACUGAAAAAAAAAAAAAAAGAAAGAAAGAAAAAAAAAAAGAUAAUAGAGGAAAAAUUUGUACAAGUUGCAAAGACCAUUCUCUCAAAAGGAGAAAAAGAUGAAAUGAAAUUGCCCUGUAUUCCCUGUUAACAAUUUUCUCUCCAACAUAUCUUAAGUUAACUAGCCUGAGGUAUAUCCUGUGGACACAGCAAUGACUGCAUGCACACCGUGUGCGCUCAAGAAUAGCAAGUAAGUAUGAAGUCGUGGAGUUAGUAAGGACUAGUAAGGACUUCACCACUAGGCCUGAAAAAAUGAAGAGAUCAUUGUGAUGUCCUUAAGGACCUCUCCUUAAGGACCUGACAGCCUGAGGCAGAUAGGAAGGACAUCACACUGAUGAGGUAGAAGUGUUUGUGAAAGCCCUAACAAUGUUUUUAUUUUUUUAUUUUUUAUUUUUAUUUUUUGCUUUUUACAGGAGAAACUAUAAGCUCAUUAAGAAAUGAUAAUCAUUCUGUUCCUCUCACAUAACAUGGAGAACUGUACAAGAUGGAAGAAUAUUAAGAGCUAUCACAGAGUACUAUACUCUAAUGAGGAAAGCUCAUGCUUCAAUUUCCUGAGUUUGACCUCUGAAAAGGCACUGAGCCUCUAGGAAUCAAGUGUGCUACAAACCAGCAUAAGGGCUGCAGAAUUUGAUGAAUGCAAGACAGAAUGGAAGCAGAAGAGAAAGUACGAUACGAGGAGGCGAACAGCUCUGGAGUACUGAGCUCAGCAGGCUAAAUACUACCGCCCUGAUAAGCAAUCUCCAAAGGUACGCGUGUACAAUGCCGACAACAGUCUGAAACUCUAUUGCUAUAUUUACAUUAAGGCACAGUAGAAGAUGGGGUGACAAAAGCAGCUGCUACUGAGGACUUGACAUUCAAAGCACACAUGUUUCGGAAGGUUUAUCCUGGACUAUCUUUAGGCAGGUUCUGUGGAUGAGCAUUCAUUGCGUUUCAAAAAGGUCUGCGGCUUGAGGUUAAACAAAAUGGAAUCAAGCUCACGUGCUCUGGAAUUACACAUGGUGUGAAUCCAAGCAGAACAAUUAAAAACAUCCAGGAAAUGAGCUUUAAAGUCACCUUCUUUUCUCCAAAUCUAAAUACUGAUGUAAGUGCAUCCUAUGUCAUUUAAAAUUCUCUUGACUUCACAAGUAUUCCAUGUAAAUUUCCCAAUGAAUUUUUGGGAAAUGGACCUUAAUGAAAAUUGAUUUUUAAAUAAAAGUUAUGUUGUUCUUAUUGGAGAACACAGUGAUUUGUAAUGUAAUAGGAGGUUUUUAUGUUUUGUUCAGACUAUCUGGAUAGACAAGAAGAAUGUGCAUGUAGGAAACGUACAGUCUGCAACACCUAUAAAGGUUACAAAAGUGUACAAAAACAUCUCUUGAAAUUUAAAAUAUUGUUGAUGAAAGGAAUGCUUUUAAACUUUUUAGAGGAGCCACACAUGACAUUUUACCCUUUAAAGAUGGGAAGGUAACAAGAACUUUUCUUCCCCAAAAUGUGGAGCACGCUCAGGUGAAGCUGAAACUGAAUUUCCAGUUAGAUCUCUGCUGCAGCUUACAAAGCUACCUAAAUCGAAGUGACAGUCCAGCCAGGAACUGAGAAAUAUGUCACAACAAAUUCUUUUUAAAUAUAAAAUAAUUUCACAUGCUCUGCAGACCAUUACCAUUUUGUAAUUUUAAAGAGAGAUGAAGACAAUCCUUGCACAAGGACGUUUCAGGUGUUCUUUACCCAUAACCAUUUUUAGUGAUUACAACUUUUUUAUUCUAUUGCUAUGUUUGCUGAUUAUGUACUUCAUGUAAAACAUCUUAAGGAAAUCAUCCUUUACACUGUAUGAUUUGCAUUCGUCAUUAUUUUUUACUAUGACUAGUAUAACUAUUAUACUAUGACUAUAACCUCUUUAAUUCAUUCCAUGAAAGAUUUGAAAAAAAAAAAAGAAAAGAAAUUAGACCUACUUUUUGGAUCAUUAAGUAGUGCAUAAUCUUCAAAUGGGACAUUAAAAACUGUAAUCAGUGACAUCACCAUGACAACCGAUUAAGAAUUGUCUAGAGAAGCCUCUGAAAAUGCAAUUUUUUAAUAUAAUACAUUUAAAUGAGUUCAUCAGAACAAAGCACUCUAAGUAGAUUUAUUAUGAAUUGAACAUCUAGAAAUAAUUUGGAUAUACAAUGAACACUGAAAUUUUUUCACUCUGACUUCAGGAGAUAGGGGGUGGCAUCAAAAUUCUUUCUUGACUUUGAUAGACUUAGCAGGGGAGGGAAUAUCAAAGAAAAAAUCAGUUGUCUUGCACUAACAGACUGGAUUUCAUUAACUGGUUUUGGGGCAUGCUUCUUCCUGUAUUAUUUAGUCUCCUAACGUGUAGCUACAGUUUACACCAGGUGAGGGCCUCUAAGAAUUAGGCAUUGCUUAAAUUCCCCUUACGCUUUAGCCUGAUGAUCUUACAUGAAGCUAUGCCCACUGUCCUGCUCACUCUAAUGAGUGAAACUGGAAGCAGCAGAAACAUCAUUCUGUCACAUAUCAACAGUAAAAUAUAAAUAAAACAUCAUACAAUGUCUACUUGCAGUAUAUUGUGUUACAUACCUAUAUAAACGAUAUGCUUAGUAGUUGAGGAAAAAAUACUCAUGGGACUAAAGGCCAAUCAAAAUAAUAUUUUUAUCUGUAUCACAGAAGAUUAAAGAGAAAUACAUAUAUACAUGUUUUACAGAUAAUCUGUUUGAAAAGAUUAGCUAUACUUAACAAGAGUAAACUACCCAGCAUGCAUGAGCCCUGGCUCAUCCUCAGAACAGCUAAAAGAAUGUAGGAAUUUCUUCCUCAUGUCUCCCAGUUUCCAAGUUGCCUCUCUAAGUUACAGCUUGUUCUUGUCUUUUAUGGUUAUGUCUCCUUCUUCUGCCAGCUGUAUUUUUUAUGCCCUUUUCUAGAACAGAACUUGCACUAGUGACGUUGUUGCAAGCAGACUGCAUGUUUAGAACAAAGACUUUCCACAACGCUGCCUUGUUUCUGCAUGUUCUAAAGCCAGUCCAACUCACAGUCCAAGACUGUGCAACACUUUUCACAAUGCACAUGAAGGAGACAUCUGUACAGUUAAGUAGAUCUUUGUUGAAGACUGAUUUGAAAAUAGAUCUUCACAACAAUCUAAAACCUUGACAGACAACAUGGAAGUCAAAGACGGGGCUGAAUCAAACUUUCACUGCUACACAGUAAUGUUAUUGCAAUACAAGAGUGGAUGCCUGCUCAUCCUUCUGCUUUAGAAGAACUUCAGAAGUUAUCCUAUCUCACGGUUUUUAAGGAAUGAAGGAAGACAACAUCUAAUUCAUCUAAUAAGCACAGUGGCAGCGUUCGGAUUGCUGGCCUCUCG
This 12743-nucleotide long non-coding RNA is filed under the name Gallus gallus (chicken). RNAcentral describes it as "lncRNA (ENSGALG00010010232.1)". Lineage: Eukaryota; Metazoa; Chordata; Aves; Galliformes; Phasianidae. The record is from RNAcentral.